Callorhinus ursinus (northern fur seal) is the source of this 815-nucleotide long non-coding RNA. RefSeq lists it as uncharacterized. Lineage: Eukaryota; Metazoa; Chordata; Mammalia; Carnivora; Otariidae. The record is from RefSeq and is a predicted model, not a curated record.
GGAAGCAUCUAUUACAGACUUGGCUUAAAAAAGUCAGAAAAGAUAUCUGUGAAACUGUCCAGCUGCCUGACCCUCACGCAACCUCAGGGAGACUAUAAAGUUUGAGACCUAGUACUCCAUAUUUUGUGUUCAACCAUGGAAGACUGACCUCGAAAGUGGAAGACAAAAGCCACGACAACAGGAUGAACGAAGCAGAAAGAGGAGCUGAGCAGAGAGGACCCCGCCAUUAACUCACACGGCCAAUGCCCCCUGCCUGCCUCCCCUGCUCCAGUCCUUUCUCUGCAACUUAUUUCAACUGUGGCCUCAUCUUCCACUGGACCCUUCCUUACCCCUCCAUCCCUGGUGCUGACCUCUGUGCCUCUUCAUCCCCUGAUUAAACUCCCUUCUCUUGCACAGGUGUGCACACAGGCUCUCCUUCCCCUCCCCUCCCGCCAUGUCAACUGCAGAUUCUGCAUCUCUGGAACCAUUCCUCCUAAGAUCAAGAGGACCAGUUAUUAGUCAAAGCCCUGCUUCCUUAGCAGGCACAAACGGUCCCCACCCUGAAACACCGGAGAGGGUUAUAAACUAGGCUACAAUCGCCCUUGUGCUGGGGGCCCUGCGUCGUGAAGGGCUGAGAGCCCGGCACAGUCAGGCUGGGGCUCCACCACCUGCCCCCAACACCGCUGAGCAGGCCCACACAAGCAUCCCGAGUGGGACAGCAGCAUGUGGACUGUGUGACGGCACACCCUCAUUCUCUUUAUUCUUUUGCUUUCUCCCUUUGAAAAAUUGCUUGCUGCCCUUUUCCUACCUUCUUAAAUAAAAAUAUUUUUAAAACA